GCCUCAGCCGUUGAGAACGGUCACAUCCGUACACGCGGAUGUCAGGGAACCCGGUGCGAAUCCGGGACUGACGCGCAGCGGUAUGGGGGACGGCCUCGACAUCGGCCACUGGAGAACAUCUGGGAAGGCGUCGAGUCCGGAUGAUCCCGAGUCCGAAUACCUGCCGUACUCGCUUGAGUCCA
This 182-nucleotide non-coding RNA is filed under the name Mycolicibacterium holsaticum. The record is from RNAcentral. Lineage: Bacteria; Bacillati; Actinomycetota; Actinomycetes; Mycobacteriales; Mycobacteriaceae.